AAUAGAUACCCCGGUAGUCCACGCCCUAAACGAUGUCUACUAGUUGUCGGGGGGGUAACUCCUUCGGUAACGCAGCUAACGCGUGAAGUAGACCGCCUGGGGAGUACGGUCGCAAGAUUAAAACUCAAAGGAAUUGACGGGGACCCGCACAAGCGGUGGAUGAUGUGGAUUAAUUCGAUGCAACGCGAAAAACCUUACCUACCCUUGACAUGCCACUAACGAAGCAGAGAUGCAUUAGGUGCCCGAAAGGGAAAGUGGACACAGGUGCUGCAUGGCUGUCGUCAGCUCGUGUCGUGAGAUGUUGGGUUAAGUCCCGCAACGAGCGCAACCCUUGCCAAUAGUUGCUACGAAAGGGCACUCUAUUGGGACUGCCGGUGACAAACCGGAGGAAGGUGGGGAUGACGUCAAGUCCUCAUGGCCCUUAUGGGUAGGGCUUCACACGUCAUACAAUGGCUGGUACAGAGGGUUGCCAACCCGGCGGAGGGGGGAGCCAAUCCCAACAAAAUCAGUCGUAGUCCGGAUUGCAGUCUGCAACUCGA
This 539-nucleotide ribosomal RNA is filed under the name uncultured bacterium. Its description in RNAcentral is "bacterial SSU rRNA". It matches the Rfam family "Bacterial small subunit ribosomal RNA", at positions 777 to 1315 of the family's 1533-position model. The record is from RNAcentral.